Molecule: ribosomal RNA, 503 nt
Filed under: uncultured bacterium
Lineage: Bacteria
Description: bacterial SSU rRNA
Rfam family: Bacterial small subunit ribosomal RNA
Source: RNAcentral
GAUGAACGCUAGCUACAGGCUUAACACAUGCAAGUCGAGGGGCAGCAUGAACUUAGCUUGCUAAGUUUGAUGGCGACCGGCGCACGGGUGAGUAACGCGUAUCCAACCUGCCCUUUACGCGGGGAUAGCCUUCUGAAAGGAAGUUUAAUACCCGAUGAAUUCGUUUAGUCGCAUGGCUUGAUGAAGAAAGAUUUAUCAGUAAAGGAUGGGGAUGCGUCCCAUUAGCUUGUUGGCGGGGUAACGGCCCACCAAGGCGACGAUGGGUAGGGGUUCUGAGAGGAAGGUCCCCCCACAUUGGAACUGAGACACGGUCCAAACUCCUACGGGAGGCAGCAGUGAGGAAUAUUGGUCAAUGGGGCGCGAGCCUGAACCAGCCAAGUAGCGUGGAGGACGACGGCCCUACGGGUUGUAAACUCCUUUUAUAAGGGGUAUAAAGUUGGCCAUGUAUGGCCAUUUGCAGGUACCUUAUGAAUAAGCAUCGGCUAAUUCCGUGCCAGCAGCCG